Molecule: non-coding RNA, 6881 nt
Organism: Equus caballus (horse)
Lineage: Eukaryota; Metazoa; Chordata; Mammalia; Perissodactyla; Equidae
Source: RefSeq, a predicted model, not a curated record
GGCUGCCGAAACAGAACGUGCCAACUUAACCGCUGCACCAGCGGGCUGGCCCCUGCAUGUUUUUUUUUAUUUUUAUAUGUACUAAGUAUUACGUAAAUUUUUUAUCUACUAAGAAUAAGAAAGAAAUAGUUUCUUCCCUCCAGGAGCUCCCAGUCUGCUGCUGAGGUCUGAAUGGAAAUCACAUUCUUCUUCCCUCUGGGUUUCAACCAAUUGAGAAAUUGGCUCAGGGCUAAAAGUAUUGGCUUUAUUGUUGGCAAAGCUGGAUUUGAGAAAGUGGAGGCCAAAUGAUUUUCUCCUCCUUCCUCACCUGAUCCAGGGGGUCAUGUGCAAACUGGAGGUCCCCUGCUGACCUCUCCCCAAGAGGCAGGGCCUACCUGGUGGAGGAGGAGGCAGGAGAGAAACCCCUGAAGGAAAAGGAGGGGGCUGUCCUUCCUGGGGAGUGGAGUGGAAGUCCUCUGGAGGAGGCACACCCAACUACAGGGAUGCAGAGCAGGAGGUGACAGCAGCAAGUGAGCCGUGCCAGGCAGAGUUAUUUGCAGCUAACAGUGUGAUGGAAGGCUUCCUGGUGUAGGCCACAAACAUUUUGCCUCUCUGUGAAAGGUGGUGGGAUCUAGGCCAGUCGGGGGGACAUAGUGAGUUUUAACACAGAGGCUGAAGUGGUGAGACCCGUCAGGGGGCUGAGGUCUGAGUUGGGGCUUCUCUGAGCCCCAUAGGACAGAACUGGCCCUUCUUUGAGUGCAGGGUGUGUCACCUGAAAGCAAGCACAAAAGAGGGGUCACCAGGCUGGGCGAGUGAGGCAGGCUCAGGGGAGGGGCGUGUGUGAGGGAGUGGAGCUGUCUAGGAGCCUGGAAAGCCCCCUCUCCGUCUCCUCCCCAGCUGUGGGAGACUCCUUCCAGCUGCUGAUUCCUGGGCAGGCACAGGGAGACCCAAGGGGCAUGGGGAUUCUGCCCUAAAGCAGGGUCCCUCCCUCACCCUCCAGGGGGCAGGUGACCUGGGCUUGUGACCUGUGGCCUGCCAGGUGCUUGACUUUGGGCAGGGAGCAAGAGCAGUCACAUUCAAUGAAAACCUACCUCCUAUGGGGCAGGGUGUUGCUUUCUAUGUAUCAUGUCCUUUAAUUAUAUUUCAUCCUUGUGACAACUCUCUGAGGUAGGCAGUAAUAUCUCCCAUUCACAGAUGAGGAGUCUGAGGGUCAGGGAGGGUAGAGGACGGCUCCUGUGAUGUUAGAACCCAGUUCUACCUGCCUCUAAAGGUGAUGUCCUUUCCGUUAUACUAUUUAACCCUUCUGGGACUCAGUUUCCCUUCUGUAAAAUGGGAAUAACAUCUAUGUCCCAGAUUUGUCAUGAAAACAACUUGCAAAACCUAGCACAGUGGUUGACUUUCCUCCUUCCCUUCCCUCCAGGUCCCAGGGUCAGGCUGCACGCUGAGGUGGCCCAUGUGCACCUCUCUGGGUUUGGCUGUUUUCACCUACUUUCAGGGCAAGGACCUAUCCAGAGAGGGCAGGACCAUGAGUUACACAGCUCGUUUCACAUCAUUAAUUCUCUCACGUUUCUGAUAGUUGCAUUUUUUUCUUCACUGACGGUGGGAGGAGGCCACCUCCUCCUCUUUCUCCCUCCCGGGGCUCCCUCUCCUAUUUACGCUCAUUCACACCCAAGCUGAGCUCGCACUCUUGACUUGAUUCAAAGCCAGUCGUUUACCACAGGUAGUGACUGUGAGAAACCAGACCCGACCCACAGAGCAAUGAGCCAAGAAGAGAAACCCUCCAAACCCCCAGAAUGGGUCCUAAUGCUGUGCCCACGUCUUCUCAGGUGCUGUGGCUUCGGCUGGGCUACAUAUAACGGGCCAGUGGCCCUUAUUCGCAAGGCUAGUUUAUAGCCUAGCAGUUCAAUUCGGUUUGAUUCUAUUUCACUAGACUUAAUUCCUUUAACAGUUAAGGGCCAUGUGCUGGGCAAGGCUAGUGUGUUUAGACUGCUGAAGCUCAGCUCCUGUGAGAACAACGUUGUUAGGGACAGAAUUCUAGAAAUGGGGUCUAAUUCACAGAUAUUUUAACUGGGACAAGAGAGGAUGAGAGGAAAUGGGAGGCUAUGUGAGUUUCAUUAUGACUGAGGAGUCUAGUUCUCUGCCCGUCAGGCUCAGACCUCUGAGCUUCACCAGGAAAAGAGAGAAUUAACUCAUGUCUCACCCAAACAGGCCAUGCCACAGAGAGCUGCUCCUCCAGUGUAGUCUAGAAAUGUGUGUGUACCGCCGUGGAGCUGGAAAGGAAAACCAAGGGGAAAAAUGCGAAUCAAGGGGGAAAAACAAACAUAGUUAAAGCUGUUCCCUCCAGCAUUCUCUCAACUGGAAAUUUCCAGUUCUGACCUUCUGGUUAGUUUUUAGUACAUUGAAAAUACAUGUUCAUCUAUUUUGAGUGAGCAAUACUGAUCACAAGACAGUACAAGAGAAGUGAAGGAGAUCAAGGUUAGCUGGUAAAAAUAAAAUAAAAUGAGUUAAGCUAGUAAAUUGCCAGAGAAACUAUACAUAUUAGCCAGAACUUAUAAAGAGAGGCAAAACAAGAUUAAAAAAACAAAACAAAACAAAAACCCGAAAAAGCAGAAUUGAAGAAUGUUUACAUUCUCACAACCACAAACAUGAAGUGAAGUGAGCUCAGAACUCAGUGGGAGUUUAGCGAAAUAAGAGUUGAGGCUGAGGCGGAGGCUGCUCCGUGUUCCCUCCUGGUUGCCCUGGCGAUGAAAGACAUCUGCCUUAUAGAAAUGAAAUCACAUUGAGAAGAAACCCACAAGCGCAAGAGAGUUUCUGGGUUUAUAGACUUGCUGUUUCUCCCUCCGACUUUGGGGAGUGUGUAGGAAACAGAUGAGGUAGUUGGGUAUGCCUCUGGCUGCCCCUUUUACUCAUUGGUGCCACUGCCUGGUAGGAAACUUCAGGAACCCAGGACAGGGAAGUGUCAGAAGCUUAACCUCCUGGAGGCCGCCUGAGGGGCUGGGGUCAGAGACUUACACCAGCCUAUCACUCAGGAGGGGUUAGAGAGAGGAGAGCCUGAGUCUACUCGUUAGCUAGCUAAUUAAUUCUUGAGCAUGUCAUGGCGAUGUCACGGAGAAGACAAGGUGAGUGACAUGAGAUCUUGUCUCCAAGGUGAGGGGAGAGCAGAUGCAUAUACACAAUUAGUUGUGAUAUAAGCCCUGUUGAGGGAGAUAAACAAAGCUCUACAGGAAUUCUUUUACUCUUCCAUAUUCUUUUCCUUAUUCAGGCUGUGUUUUUAUAGAAAAAAAACCUUAGCAAAUAUGAAAAUAAGCAGAAGGAAAAAAUUAAAAUCACUCCAUAUUACACCACCCAGAGAGAACUAUCAUUAACAUUUUAGAAUGUAUCUUUUUAAACUUUUUUCUUAUGCAAAUAUAUGCAUGAGUUCAAGACGUUUAUGUGUUCUCUCUCUGUAGAUAUAUAUUUUUCUGAAACAGAUUUAUACUACAGGCAUGUGCUACAUAAUGAUGUUUCAGUCAAUGAUGGACUACAUGUAUGACAGUGGUCCCAUCAGAUUAGUACCUUUUAUCCUAGGUGUGUAGGAGGCUAUACCAUCUAGGUUUGUGUAAGUACACUCUGUGAUGUUCACACAACGACAAAAUCGCCUAACGAUGCAUUUCUCAUAAUGUAUUUGUGUCGUUGAGCAGCACGUGACAGUACAUAUAGGAUUUUACCUUUUGGCAUCUCACAAUACACCAUGAACAUCUUUUCAACUAACACAUAUAUAUUGGCAUCAUUGUAUUUAACAUCUGCAUUGCAUCUAUUACUUGACCUUAAAAUAAUUUAGCCAAACAAGGUGGAGAGAUGGGGGUUCCUGUCCUUCCCCUCAAGUCAGUUGAGAGAGGCUCCAAUGGAAACACUCAAAGAACUUGAUACGUGUUUCUUACAGUUUUAGGCACCAGCGUUGGUGUCAAAUCCUGCCUAAGAAAUCUAAAGGGCCAAUGCAGGCUGGCUGGCUGGCAGCUGAUGGAUGAGAGAGAGGAGACAGGCUGUGCUGGGAUCGGCCUCCAGGCCCAGGAUGGCCAGCUGAGGAUGCACGAGCAUUUCCUGUGGAACACACCCUGGAGAGAAACAAGUCGAUUGGUGAUUACAUCAACAUAAAGGUCACAGCAAUAAAGGAGCUCCAACUUUGAUGCUAAUGAGGACCCAUUGGGAGGCUGAGGAGGGAGCCUUGCUGUAGGAGAUGAAUCUGCUAAUUGCGUUCCUGCUGUUUCUGCACAGAGUGGGCCUGUUCCUGGCUGCACAGGGUCCAGGCUAACAUUUUCUUUCACUGACUCAAACGAGGACAGAUGACGCUGAUGGUUUAUGGCUCCUCCCUCAUUUGUCCCUGGGCUGUGAGGAUCAUUACAUGAUGGACUCUAGGAAAAUAGUCAUUGAGGAAAAAUGGAUGGCAGAGAGAAAAAAAUAGAUCUUCUUAAGCCAGCCGUUGUCAGCUGAAAGCACACCCACCAGCCCCUGAGAGGCUGGCCGGCCAGCGCUUUAGAUAAUCUGGCUUUUCUGGAGGGUGCUGUCACAGGAAGACAGAGGUAACAAAGUUAGGGCUUUUCAGAGUGGAGCGGAAGGGGCUAGGAGUCUGUCUCAAGCCUCCUUCCCCCGAGCUGAGGCUAAAAGUGCCUACGACACCAAAACCCACAGUAGAAGAAACGGCCAUGUUCCCUCUGUAGCCUCCUCUUCCUCUUUUCUGCAUGAAGAACUCCUAGCUAUCCUUCCAAGCCCAACUCGAUGCUAUACUCACCCACCCCCUGAGGAGCAGUUGGGACUCCCUCUGUGCACUCCACAGGGUGUGCCAAGGAUCCACGAGACGUCAGGUGUGGAAGGACAGAAUGCUUAGCACGGCGCCCUUCCUCCCUCCCCUGCGGCAAUGUCCCUGUGAGGGACCCUGGACAUCAUGUGUGUAUGUGAACAGGUACUUUACGCUACAAAGCACCAUAUUAAAAAUACUAUUUAUCUGGCUGGGUUUAGUUAGUUGCCUGUACCUACUCCUGAACUGUGAACUCUUUGAUGACAAGGAUGCUUUAUUUAAAAAAAAACUGCAGCCUCCAUCCCUGGCACAAUGCUGGGUACAAAAGUAGGCACUGCCAGUCAUGCUGGGCUGGGGAACCGCCUUUACACAGGCCCGCAGCCUGGCCAGGAAGGUGGCACCUGGCUCUGCAGAGCAGUGCAGUGGUCAGCUUUCCCGAGCUGAGGCCUCGGGCUGGCUGCUACAUCUUCCUCCCAGAGGCCUGCGAUGCUGUUUGCCUUUGUUUGCUCCCAGUAGCUCUUGCUACCCAUUCUUCCAGACACCUGGCACCUCCCGCCUGCUCACCCAGCGCUUGACCCUGGCCUCUUUCCUCAGCCCCUCCUAAGACUUCCCUGGCAGCUUCUCAAACUGGACCUGUCAUCGCUUCCCCAGCACUGACCACCGCAGGAGUGACUCAGGUUUUGUCUUAUUAAGCCAGGCUUUGGGCUUCACGUGUGGCCCAAAGCUCAAUAAAUUUAGAUCAGAGUUAGAGAGAACAUCAAUGUUGUGAACUGAUGGGCCAGUGGCAGUGGAAAGAGCAUGAGCUGACCUGGGGUCAGAUCUUGGCUCAGCUACGCUUGCUAGCUGGGUGACCAUGACCAGUUGCUGAACUUCUCAGAAUCACACUUUUCUCAUCUGUACAUGGGGAUUAAAACACACGUACACACCCCUGCUAACUCACAGGGUCACUGUGAAGAGUAAACGCCAUGACACAUAUGAAGCCUCUGGCCUCCCGCCUGACACAUGGCAGAUUUUCAGUAAGUAAGAGUUUCCUUCCUUUCCUCUUUUCCACUAAGAACUCUUCCAAGUCUAAAAGUCCAUGAGCCUUUGAAACACAUGUUCCCAUGUUAAACAAUAACUUGGGAAGGUGACCAAGCUGCUAGAAAGUUUAUCUUCCCAGAGGAACAAGGAUCUCAGGCGAUGGAGACAAUGCUGUGUCCCAGGUCACCCUGGAACAGGUUUCUUACUCCCCGUCCGAAGUCCCGCAGAUCAGGAGAGGGUGUUGUCGGUGAUGAGGGUUGGCAAACCACACUUGACAAAGUAAGGAAAGCUGGCUCAGUUCACAGAGAAGCAGCGAGUGAGGGAAAGCCCAGGGAGGCCUGGCAUUGACCCGGGGCUCAGAGGGCGGGCAGGUGAGUCUGUGCACAGCCGGCAGCAAACGGCUCAGCCAGGAAUCCUCUGCGCUCCGUCACGGGGAGGCUGCAGUCUCUACCACAGACUCCCAUGAAAACAGAGCGGAAGAAUGGAGGCCGCACAUGCCCUGGACCUCUUCUUCAGGCAGGUGAAGUGGAUAGAUUUUGGAGGUGCCAACUGACCUGGAAGAGCAGCGGGGAGCCAGCAGAGUCAGCUUGCUGCUGUCCCUGAGAACAGCGGUGCUGAGAGAGGCGCCAGGACCAGCAGCACAGCCUCAGCUGGGUUUGUUACAAUCAGGAACUUCUGAAUCAGGAACGCUGGGGGCAUGACCUAGCUGUCUGUACUCUAAUAAGCUCUCCAGUGAUUUUGAUGCACGCUAAAGUUUGAGAACCACUGACUUAGCAGGAGCUUUUCUUCAUUUACCUGAGAUUUCCUUCCCAUUUUGAAGUGGUGGGAGAUGGCAUGGGAGUGGAACGGUCAUAAUCUUAGAGACAAGAAGAUCUGAGUUCAGAUCCUGGCUCUGCUACUAAGUGGUAGCGUGGCCUUGGACAAAUCCGUCAACCUCUCUGCACCCUGAUUCCCUCAAGUGUGAAACAUCUGCCUUGCAGGAUUAGGUGGUAGAUUUAGAGAGAACGUAUGGAAAGCAUUCAGCAGGGCACCAGUCACGGAGUGGAUGCCUAUCAUCAUCAUCAUCAUCAUCAUCAUCGUCACCAGGACUACAAAGAACACCCCCGGA